RNAcentral lists this transfer RNA (72 nucleotides) under Camelus bactrianus (Bactrian camel). It matches the Rfam family "tRNA". Rfam says of the family: Transfer RNA (tRNA) molecules are approximately 80 nucleotides in length. Their secondary structure includes four short double-helical elements and three loops (D, anti-codon, and T loops). RNAcentral also lists the same sequence under 2 other names. The record is from Rfam by way of RNAcentral. Lineage: Eukaryota; Metazoa; Chordata; Mammalia; Artiodactyla; Camelidae.
AGGGUAAUAGUUCAGUGGUAGAGCACAUGCUUAGCAUGCAUGAGGUCCUGGGUUCAAUCCCUAAUUCUUCCA